RNAcentral lists this non-coding RNA (28 nucleotides) under Mus musculus (house mouse). The record is from RNAcentral. Lineage: Eukaryota; Metazoa; Chordata; Mammalia; Rodentia; Muridae.
UUGGUCUCAGUUUGUUCAAAAGGUUGUU